Molecule: long non-coding RNA, 1029 nt
Organism: Gasterosteus aculeatus aculeatus (three-spined stickleback)
Lineage: Eukaryota; Metazoa; Chordata; Actinopteri; Perciformes; Gasterosteidae
Source: Ensembl
GGAGGAGAGCGGACCCAAACGCAAGGGCAGGGAGGCAGUGUUUGAUGGGAACGGCUCUGCAGCACUUCAGUGGUCGUAAAAUGUUGCUGAAGUUCAUGUUCAGGGCAUCAAAAACCUAUGAAGGAACAAGCCGAUGACGCCGUCAGCCUAUAAACAUACAGGAUUCUGUUGCAUUGUCACACUGUAGUCAAGCUGUAGAUGCUCAGUAUUCCUAAAGCUAACAAUUUGUGGUAUUGUUCAUGCAACAUUUGCAUGACUGGGACUUGCACUGCUGUCCAUUGUCGGCAUUUGUCACCUCACUGUUUUUUGUUUUGUUUUUGCUUCAGUUUCUUUGACGUGGUCUUAUCUUGGACAGAGGUCAUAAUGAGUAGAAAAAAAGAAAUGGCAACGAUCAUGUGAUCAGUUCCAGGGACUGUGGUGUCCCAGAUAUCCCAGUUGUUUCUAUUUUAAAUGGCCAGUAGAUCAUCUGCCUGCAUUUUUAAGUCAUGCAACAAAGAAAAGAUCAGUUACUUUUAAAUCGGGUAUUUAAGUCUUUGCAGGUUUAAGGUGUCAAAAAGAGGCACGCAGGGAGAAAAAUGACUGGAAUAAAGCAAAUACGUGCAUUUGCAAAAUGUUUUGCAAUGCUAAAUGUGGAUGUCCUAUAACUGGUUGCUUUUGAAAUGAUAAAUCUAAUAAGGCCUCAACCAUAAAUAAUUCUCUGCUGCAUCAGAGCAUCAUUUUCCAUGUACUCAAUUAAGGAGAUGAAAACAAUAAUAAAACAAUUUGUAUGGAAGGCGACUUCAUUGCGUCAACUGCGCAGAUAAAACACUGUGCUACUUUAAGAACAAAUAAAUGUAGAAUAGUUUCUGGGGAUCUAGCAAACACGGUUUAACAGCAAGUCUAAAAGUAAACUCCCCAUUUUGCACCUACUUUUUCAGUUGCAAGCACCUUCAUUUCCAUUGCACAACAGGUUUGCAACCUUUUAAAGGUUCUUCAGCAUGACAGCUAACCAUCGUACCGACGGGUCCUUUCAGAAAGCGCCCUUUCAAC